AACCUGAUGUGGGACUUGAUCCCAGGACUCCAGGAUCAUGACCUGAGCUGAAGGCAGUCGCUUAACCAACUGAGCUACCCAGGUGCCCUAACCAUGAUGUUUUUUAGAAGUAAAACUCAUUACAACUAUUCUGAAUCCAUUUUUGGCUAAGUGAGGAGGAAAGUUUUACCAGCUGAUGGCCGUUUGAUGACCUACAUGGAAAGAAUUGGUAGACUCAGGAGAGCACAAUUGAGAGAAGUGAUCACAUCACAAAAUAUGACAUCAUUCUUUGGCACCAGCUGGCAUCCUGGACAUGGAGAGUGAGUUAUACUCUCAACCCUCAAUUUUCCCCUCAAGAUUACCCUUGUGGCUCACCAGAGGGCAGUGUGCAGUAAUCGGCUCUACUACCUCCUAUGUUGGAUGUUUCCUUUGGAACAGCCAAUGUCAAAUCAUCAGAAACAGAACACAGGCAAGAGAAUAAAUUAUGGAAGUUGUUUUGUUAGAUUUGUUGUAUCUCUCCCCCCUACAAGGAAUUCUUAACAUUGAGAAAUUAAUCAAUCACCACAUGAGAUAUAAGAGAGAGAGAGAGGACAAGCAUAGGAAGCAGCAG
Mustela erminea (ermine) is the source of this 589-nucleotide long non-coding RNA. RefSeq lists it as uncharacterized. The transcript has 3 exons. The record is from RefSeq and is a predicted model, not a curated record. NCBI's taxonomy places the organism in Eukaryota, Metazoa, Chordata, Mammalia, Carnivora, Mustelidae.